CUUUCUCUCUCUAGAAUCCUCUCUCUAGAUUAUUUCUCUCUCCUAAGAUUUUUAGAAUUUUGAGAAGAAUGAUGAUGAAUUUAAAUGAUCCUCGUGAUAGAUUUUUGAUCUGUGAUCGUCGGACGGUAUACCGACAUCCACUUUGAUCAGAUCAGGUAUUUUUAGAUUUUAUUUCUCAUGAUUUUAUUAAAUUAUCCACAUGAUAAUCUUAACAUGAUUUGAUCUGAUCGAUCGAAUUUAUUGAAUCAUAUUGUC
RNAcentral lists this long non-coding RNA (255 nucleotides) under Elaeis guineensis (African oil palm). RNAcentral's name for it is "long non-coding RNA (EGUI_LNC048188)". The record is from RNAcentral. Lineage: Eukaryota; Viridiplantae; Streptophyta; Magnoliopsida; Arecales; Arecaceae.